This 260-nucleotide ribosomal RNA is filed under the name uncultured bacterium. RNAcentral's name for it is "partial 16S ribosomal RNA". It matches the Rfam family "Bacterial small subunit ribosomal RNA", at positions 793 to 1055 of the family's 1533-position model. The record is from RNAcentral.
GUCCACGCCCUAAACGAUGUCAACUGGUUGUUGGGAAUUCACUUUCUCAGUAACGAAGCUAACGCGUGAAGUUGACCGCCUGGGAGUACGGCCGCAAGGUUGAAACUCAAAGGAAUUGACGGGACCCGCACAAGCGGUGGAUGAUGUGGUUUAAUUCGAUGCAACGCGAAAACCUUACCCACCUUUGACAUGUACGAAUCCUUUAGAGAUAGAGGAGUGCUCGAAAGAGAGCCGUAACACAGGUGCUGCAUGGCUGUCGU